ACUCCAAUCUGCAUUCCUUCCAGAGAGUUCAUUGAUAUUGGUCGUGUUGCCUCCAUUGAGAAUAACCAUCUACCUGUUGAUUAUGCAAGGAAGGGGCAGAAAGUAGCCAUUAAGGUGUUACUGUUAAGGCGUGUGGCGGUUGUUAAGGAUAGCAAUAUAGUUGAUACUCUUUCAUUUAGCAUACUGUCAUCUCAUUGAGUGUUGCAUCCCCGCCAACAAAGAUUUCCUUACUAUCAUCGUUCGAGGCAUGGCAACACCCCCGAGGUCCCCUCCACCACUAGAUUCUCCUACGGAAACCACAAAAAAGAAGACUAGACAAACUACCAGGAUGCGAAGGUUGACUGCCAAAAGCUUAGAUCAACCACGACCAACUGUCCACGUCAACCCUUCUACUGGUAGAGGAUCUGGCCCUCAUAAAGAAAAAUUUCAUAGUUACCUGGGGGUAGUGGCACGGGAGAAAAUCCCUAU
Long non-coding RNA from Glycine soja, 468 nucleotides. RefSeq lists it as uncharacterized. The record is from RefSeq and is a predicted model, not a curated record. The transcript is spliced from 3 exons. NCBI's taxonomy places the organism in Eukaryota, Viridiplantae, Streptophyta, Magnoliopsida, Fabales, Fabaceae.